RNAcentral lists this ribosomal RNA (470 nucleotides) under uncultured bacterium. Its description in RNAcentral is "partial 16S ribosomal RNA". It matches the Rfam family "Bacterial small subunit ribosomal RNA", at positions 28 to 506 of the family's 1533-position model. The record is from RNAcentral.
GACGAACGCUGGCGGCGUGCUUAACACAUGCAAGUCGAACGAUGAAGCCUAGCUUGCUAGGUGGAUUAGUGGCGAACGGGUGAGUAAUACGUGAGUAACCUACCUUUAACUCUGGGAUAAGCCCGGGAAACUGGGUCUAAUACCGGAUACGACCAAUCUCCGCAUGGGGUGUUGGUGGAAAGCGUUAUGUAGUGGUUAUAGAUGGGCUCACGGCCUAUCAGCUUGUUGGUGAGGUAACGGCUCACCAAGGCGACGACGGGUAGCCGGCCUGAGGGGGUGACCGGCCACACGGGGCAGGAGACACGGCCCAGACCCCCCGGGGGGGAAGGGGGGGGAAAUAUGCCCAAAGGGGCGCAAGCCUGAGGCAGGGACCCCGGGUGGGGGAUGCCGGCCUUCGGGUUGAAAACCUCUUUUAGCAGGGAAGAAGAGAGAUUGACGGUCCCUGAAGAGAAAGCCCCGGCUAAUUACGG